GAGCGUUCUGUAAGCCUGUGAAGGUGUGCUGUGAGGCAUGCUGGAGGUAUCAGAAGUGCGAAUGCUGACAUAAGUAACGAUAAAGCGGGUGAAAAGCCCGCUCGCCGGAAGACCAAGGGUUCCUGUCCAACGUUAAUCGGGGCAGGGUGAGUCGACCCCUAAGGCGAGGCCGAAAGGCGUAGUCGAUGGGAAACAGGUUAAUAUUCCUGUACUUGGUGUUACUGCGAAGGGGGGACGGAGAAGGCUAUGUUGGCCGGGCGACGGUUGUCCCGGUUUAAGCGUGUAGGCUGGUUUUCCAGGCAAAUCCGGAAAAUCAAGGCUGAGGCGUGAUGACGAGGCACUACGGUGCUGAAGCAACAAAUGCCCUGCUUCCAGGAAAAGCCUCUAAGCAUCAGGUAACAUCAAAUCGUACCCCAAACCGACACAGGUGGUCAGGUAGAGAAUACCAAGGCGCUUGAGAGAACUCGGGUGAAGGAACUAGGCAAAAUGGUGCCGUAACUUCGGGAGAAGGCACGCUGAUAUGUAGGUGAAGUCCCUCGCGGAUGGAGCUGAAAUCAGUCGAAGAUACCAGCUGGCUGCAACUGUUUAUUAAAAACACAGCACUGUGCAAACACGAAAGUGGACGUAUACGGUGUGACGCCUGCCCGGUGCCGGAAGGUUAAUUGAUGGGGUCAGCGCAAGCGAAGCUCUUGAUCGAAGCCCCGGUAAACGGCGGCCGUAACUAUAACGGUCCUAAGGUAGCGAAAUUCCUUGUCGGGUAAGUUCCGACCUGCACGAAUGGCGUAAUGAUGGCCAGGCUGUCUCCACCCGAGACUCAGUGAAAUUGAACUCGCUGUGAAGAUGCAGUGUACCCGCGGCAAGACGGAAAGACCCCGUGAACCUUUACUAUAGCUUGACACUGAACAUUGAGCCUUGAUGUGUAGGAUAGGUGGGAGGCUUUGAAGUGUGGACGCCAGUCUGCAUGGAGCCGACCUUGAAAUACCACCCUUUAAUGUUUGAUGUUCUAACGUGGACCCGUGAUCCGGGUUGCGGACAGUGUCUGGUGGGUAGUUUGACUGGGGCGGUCUCCUCCUAAAGAGUAACGGAGGAGCACGAAGGUUGGCUAAUCCUGGUCGGACAUCAGGAGGUUAGUGCAAUGGCAUAAGCCAGCUUGACUGCGAGCGUGACGGCGCGAGCAGGUGCGAAAGCAGGUCAUAGUGAUCCGGUGGUUCUGAAUGGAAGGGCCAUCGCUCAACGGAUAAAAGGUACUCCGGGGAUAACAGGCUGAUACCGCCCAAGAGUUCAUAUCGACGGCGGUGUUUGGCACCUCGAUGUCGGCUCAUCACAUCCUGGGGCUGAAGUAGGUCCCAAGGGUAUGGCUGUUCGCCAUUUAAAGUGGUACGCGAGCUGGGUUUAGAACGUCGUGAGACAGUUCGGUCCCUAUCUGCCGUGGGCGCUGGAGAACUGAGGGGGGCUGCUCCUAGUACGAGAGGACCGGAGUGGACGCAUCACUGGUGUUCGGGUUGUCAUGCCAAUGGCACUGCCCGGUAGCUAAAUGCGGAAGAGAUAAGUGCUGAAAGCAUCUAAGCACGAAACUUGCCCCGAGAUGAGUUCUCCCUGACCCUUUAAGGGUCCUGAAGGAACGUUGAAGACGACGACGUUGAUAGGCCGGGUGUGUAAGCGCAGCGAUGCGUUGAGCUAACCGGUACUAAUGAACCGUGAGGCUUAACCUU
Molecule: ribosomal RNA, 1712 nt
Filed under: Escherichia coli
Lineage: Bacteria; Pseudomonadati; Pseudomonadota; Gammaproteobacteria; Enterobacterales; Enterobacteriaceae
Also listed under: 1 other name
Description: partial 23S ribosomal RNA
Rfam family: Bacterial large subunit ribosomal RNA
Source: RNAcentral